RNAcentral lists this ribosomal RNA (455 nucleotides) under Pycnopulvinus aurantiacus. RNAcentral describes it as "eukaryotic LSU rRNA". It matches the Rfam family "Eukaryotic large subunit ribosomal RNA", at positions 191 to 663 of the family's 3401-position model. The record is from RNAcentral. Lineage: Eukaryota; Fungi; Basidiomycota; Microbotryomycetes; Heterogastridiales; Heterogastridiaceae.
UGGAAUACAGCGUCAUAGUGGUGAGAACCCAGUAUAUGAUGUGGAUGCCUAGUGCUUUGUGAUACAUUUUCAAAGAGUCGAGUUGUUUGGGAAUGCAGCUCAAAAUGGGUGGUAAAUUCCAUCUAAAGCUAAAUAUUGGCGAGAGACCGAUAGCGAACAAGURCCGUGAGGGAAAGAUGAAAAGCACUUURGAAAGAGAGUUAACAGUACGUGAAAUUGUUGAAAGGGAAACGCUUGAAGUCAGACUUGCUUUUGAGUUUACUUGAUGGCAGGCUAGCAUCAGUUUCUGASAGUAGAAAAGGGUAUUGAGAAGGUMGCAGCUUAGGUUGUGUUAUAGCUCUUUACUGGAUGUGCUCUUGGGGACUGAGGAACGCAACACGCUUUGUGCAAUGUCUUCGGGCAUUUCGUGUUAAGGAUGCUAGUUAAUGGCUUUAAACGACCCGUCUUGAAACACG